CCAAGUGCACUAAGAGUCAAGUGCCUAGAGUGUCAGACUCACGGGGCUUGUCACACAGUGCAUUAUAGGAUUACUGGAGGCCAGGACUUGUUUUCCCAGCCUCCAGAUCCACAGAUCCUGGGAGCAGUGUGGAUCAUGUGAGUGUACAACAGUGCACUGAAGGGGAGAGCCUCAACCAUCUGGAGCUGCCCUCCCUGCUCAACUACUGGUCAUGAGAACAACCUUAAAAUAUCUUUGCCAGCUGCUAGAUAGCACAUAUCUAAUCCGUCCUUCAUCCUAUCUGAUAUUUUGGACGGGCAUCCCAGCUUUGUAGAGGCAGAAGAUGAGAUUUCAAAAGUGUGAAAAAAAUGAUGAUGUGCAAAGCUACCCCUCGUUUGCAUCAGCUGAGGAAUAAAAGGAAGAGAAGAGAAGGCAUCUGUACAGGAAAUGAAGAGACGAGGAAACAUUUCAUAGCCGAGCAAUUCAAGGAACCUGAGUAGACAUGAAAAAAGUAGGUUGUGUACUUAUGUCCAGUGCCAAUUCCUGAAUGUGUGUGACCCAAGGAAAAUGUUAUCAAUUUGUCAGUUCACCUGGUUUAUUUAAAAUGGGAGUGAUACAUCUGACCUUAGAGCUGUUACAAGACAGCAGUCAUUGUAAAGUACUUUGAGUCUUCAGAGAAGAAGUGGCAGUGAUGGAAAUGGACUACACAUUUUGCCUGGAACUCUUAACUAGGGGUGUUCAAGCCCCACCCGCUUCAUUCUGAAGAAUUCAUUCAUUGUCAUUGAAUAUCUUUAUUUUAAAAUUGUGUUGAUUUUAGUUUGGGUUCAUUGUGGCUGCAGUUUGCUUUGUGAUAGACAGCAACUUGUUUUUUGUUAACCUAUUCAUUUCUAGAUGAAUUUGCUCCUUUAAAUGGUUAGAGGAAGGGAAAAGCAGCGUGUGUAUGUGUGUGCGUGUGGGGGAGCCCAUCACUCUACCAUGUUGCAAGCUAAGUCUCCUAUUCCAAAACUGAGCAGAAGUCCCAACAGCCCAAUUCAGGAUGUCUCUAUAUUUGUCUCCAAAUGAAUGAAAAAAUGGACAAAAUGGGCCCUGUUCAUGUGUCCAUUCCUUCUGAAACAAAUGUUUCUGUUCUAAAGCGUAGAUCAACAUGGGCAAAAGCUUAGUGCAUAGGUAGGUGGAGAAAGUUCAGAUCUAGAGAUAAACUAGUGAAGUUGAUAAAGUUUGUUCUUAGGAAAUCAGGUCACUUGGAAUUAAAAAUAUGCAAAAAUAGAUUUUGAAAUCUGGCCAAAAGACAAAAUUUAUUUGCCCAAAGACUGCAUAAAUAGACACUGCAAAUGUGUUGUUUAGUUAUCCAAUUUCUAGAAGUCAGUAUCUAAAGCUGAAUCCAAGGGCCUAGGCAGCUGAUGUUAAAUUUCCAUUUAACACAAGC
Molecule: long non-coding RNA, 1405 nt
Organism: Hemicordylus capensis (graceful crag lizard)
Lineage: Eukaryota; Metazoa; Chordata; Lepidosauria; Squamata; Cordylidae
Exons: 3
Source: RefSeq, a predicted model, not a curated record